AGGACGAACGCUGGCGGCGUGCUUAACACAUGCAAGUCGUACGGGCUUGGGGGGCAACUCCCAAGUCAGUGGCGAACGGGUGCGUAACACGUGAGCAACUUGCCCUAUGGUGGGGGAUAGCCGGCCCAACGGCCGGGUAAUACCGCAUAUGGCGCCGAGGUCGCAUGGCCUUGGUGGGAAAGCGGCCGCAAGGUCGCGCCAAAGGUGGGGCUCGCGACGUAUCAGCUUGUUGGCGGGGUAAUGGCCCACCAAGGCUACGACGCGUAGCUGGUCUGAGAGGACGGCCAGCCACAUUGGGACUGAGAUACGGCCCAGACUCCUACGGGAGGCAGCAGUGGGGAAUAUUGGACAAUGGGGGCAACCCUGAUCCAGCAAUGCUGCGUGAGUGAUGAAGGCCUUAGGGUUGUAAAGCUCUUUCGCCCGCGACGAUGAUGACGGUAGCGGGAGAAGGAAGCCCCGGCUAACUUCGUGCCAGCAGCCGC
This 482-nucleotide ribosomal RNA is filed under the name uncultured bacterium. RNAcentral's name for it is "SSU rRNA". It matches the Rfam family "Bacterial small subunit ribosomal RNA", at positions 26 to 518 of the family's 1533-position model. The record is from RNAcentral.